This 529-nucleotide long non-coding RNA is filed under the name Linum usitatissimum (flax). RNAcentral describes it as "long non-coding RNA (LUSI_LNC001803)". The record is from RNAcentral. Lineage: Eukaryota; Viridiplantae; Streptophyta; Magnoliopsida; Malpighiales; Linaceae.
CACGUAAGAAAAUACAACAGUGACUUGCCUUCAGAAAAUUUUACUAGCAGUCGGCCAAGGGGUUAUGCAUCCUCAUCAUCAGAAUCGCAUUCUGCAUCGACGACUGCAGAAUCCGUGUCUAGAAAGCCAUUCGGCCAGCCAGUCUGCUCUCCAGUAUCCUCCGGUCAAUAGCUGCGUCGAUUGAACUCAUCUGGAACAAGAACCAACACAAAAUGGAAGAGAAUGAUCAGUUAAUCACCAACAAGUCCAGAUUCCACCAGUAAGAUACCAUAUAUAUCUGAAGGAAGCCUGGUCCUCUGCAAAAUACAUCGAACUUUGCAAUAGAAGCUGACCUGGGCCAGAGUCUGAUUUCACUGUUCGGCCAUAAAAUUAAAUUGUAAUGAAUGAGCAAAUUCCGUCUUGUUCCACUCCCACACGGUGAAGCAUAGGGAGGGAGAACAACAGUUAUAAAGAUAUAAGAUUUAAGUUCAAAUGAGCAUAUAUACAUACACCCGGAUCAAUGCAGUAUCCUUCAGUUGUUCCAGCAAGC